AACAACUCACCUGCCGAAUCAACUAGCC
Molecule: non-coding RNA, 28 nt
Filed under: Arabidopsis thaliana (thale cress)
Lineage: Eukaryota; Viridiplantae; Streptophyta; Magnoliopsida; Brassicales; Brassicaceae
Also listed under: 3 other names
Source: RNAcentral